This 521-nucleotide ribosomal RNA is filed under the name uncultured bacterium. Its description in RNAcentral is "bacterial SSU rRNA". It matches the Rfam family "Bacterial small subunit ribosomal RNA", at positions 1 to 524 of the family's 1533-position model. The record is from RNAcentral.
GGAUCCAGACUUUGAUUAUGGCUCAGGACGAACGCNGGCGGCGCGCCUAACACAUGCAAGUCGAGCGGGAAGCUUUUUAAGGAUUCUUCGGAUGAAUUAAAAAGUGGAGAGCGGCGGACGGGUGAGUAACGCGUGAGAAACCUGCCCUAUACAGGGGGAUAGCCAUUGGAAACGAUGAUUAAUACCCCAUAUGACCACAGUAUCGCAUGAUACAGCGGUGAAAACUCCGGUGGUAUAGGAUGGUCUCGCGUCUGAUUAGCUAGUUGGUGGGGUAACGGCCUACCAAGGCGACGAUCAGUAGCCGGCCUGAGAGGGUGACCGGCCACACUGGAACUGAGACACGGUCCAGACUCCUACGGGAGGCAGCAGUGGGGAAUAUUGCACAAUGGGCGAAAGCCUGAUGCAGCGACGCCGCGUGAACGAUGAAGGCUUUCGAGUCGUAAAGUUCUGUUCUUGGGGAAGAUAACGACGGUACCCAAGGAGAAAGCACCGGCUAAAUACGUGCCAGCAGCCGCGGUAAU